GUAAUUCAUGAAGUUAAUAUCUAAAAUGCUUGGAAGUAUAUACAUAUGUGGUUUGGAUAAAGUGAGCUAGUCCAUUGCCAUGCUUAUCUAGCUGCCGUCUUAGGUGUGCCUGAUCUUAAUUGUUUGCUACCAAGUUGAUUGCUCUGGUUGAAGCCAGGUGUGGGGUUCAGCAGCGACACUGGUGUCAGGAAGUUUAUGGAGCAUCAGCCCCCCUGUUGGAAAGCCAGAGGUAGAUUUCCUCAGCCUUCACAAGCAUCUUCUGGUGACACCAUGGGUUGCCAACGAGGAGGUGAACACCGAGAAGGAUUCCACAGAGAAUGUAGACCUCAACCAGCUAGGCACUAUUCACCAAGGAGUAAUGUGACUGGAGAUUAAAUCUGAGCAACUCACUCUGAGCAACACCAACAGCAAGGACAACCGUAACAAAGAUGUCCUCCCCCUGCAAGAGAGGACGGAGCUGGAGGCAAAUAGCCAAAGAAGAAAAAGAACGCCAUUAGGAAGAUCUUCAGCCGCCUCUGGAGGAUCAUAACGUGUUCCUCUGGGAUCUUCAGAGAGGACGACAACUGAGCUGCCUCCAUUGUAAAUAACUGUUUUACAAGUUGAUACCACCAACUGUAACAUCAUCAUGGCCAAUUAUAUCAUUUUAUGUAAAUAACCCAA
RNAcentral lists this long non-coding RNA (660 nucleotides) under Salmo salar (Atlantic salmon). Its description in RNAcentral is "lncRNA (ENSSSAG00000089899.1, ENSSSAG00000102452.1)". Lineage: Eukaryota; Metazoa; Chordata; Actinopteri; Salmoniformes; Salmonidae. The record is from RNAcentral.